Molecule: ribosomal RNA, 460 nt
Filed under: uncultured bacterium
Lineage: Bacteria
Description: partial 16S ribosomal RNA
Rfam family: Bacterial small subunit ribosomal RNA
Source: RNAcentral
CCUACGGGAGGCAGCAGUGAGGAAUAUUGGUCAAUGGACGCAAGUCUGAACCAGCCAUGUCUCGUGCAGGCAGCCGGAUCUAUGAGUUGUAAACUGCUUUUGUACGGUGGUAAAUCCCGAUACGUGUAUCGUGUUUAAAGUCUCUUACGACUAAGGAUCGGCUACCUCCGUGCCAGCAGCCGCGGUAAUACGGCGGAUUCCAGCGUUAUCCGGAUUUAUUGGGUUUAAAGGGUGCGUAGGCGGUUGGAUAAGUUAGAGGUGAAAUCCCGGGGCUCAACUCCGGCACUGCCUCUGAUACUGUCGGGUUAGAGUGUAGUUGCGGUAGGCGGAAUGUAUGGUGUAGCGGUGAAAUGCAUAGAGAUCAUACAGAACACCGAUUGCGAAGGCAGCUUACCAAACUACGACUGACGUUGAGGCACGAAAGCGUGGGGAGCAAACAGGAUGAGAUACCCUAGUAGUC